RNAcentral lists this ribosomal RNA (775 nucleotides) under uncultured Neocallimastigales. Its description in RNAcentral is "partial large subunit ribosomal RNA". It matches the Rfam family "Eukaryotic large subunit ribosomal RNA", at positions 19 to 646 of the family's 3401-position model. The record is from RNAcentral. Lineage: Eukaryota; Fungi; Neocallimastigomycota; Neocallimastigomycetes; Neocallimastigales.
CGAGCACGCGCGUGUGGCAUAUCAAUAAGCGGAGGAAAAGAAACUAACAAGGAUUCCCUUAGUAACGGCGAGUGAAGCGGGAAGAGCUCAAAUUUGAAAUCUUCAAGGUUCUACCUUGACGAAUUGUAGUUUAUAGAAGUGUUUUCUGUUAGUAGAGUGGCAAAAGUUCUUUGGAAUAGGACAUCAUAGAGGGUGAGAAUCCCGUAUUUGGUCAUUCUUUCUAGCUUUGUGAUACACUUUCAACGAGUCGGAUUGUUUGGGAAUGCAGUCCAAAAUGGGUGGUAAAUUUCAUCUAAAGCUAAAUAUUGGCGAGAGACCGAUAGCGAACAAGUACCGUGAGGAAAGAUGAAAAGAACUUUGAAAAGAGAGUUAAACAGUACGUGAAAUUGUCAAAAGGGAAGCGUUUGACACCAGUGUUGUUUUUUCCGAAAAUCAAUCACGAAUGUUUUGUUUUUGAGGAGUUAUGACUUCAUCGGCUUGCUCCUUUCUUUACGAAACUUUCUUAAUGCACUUUUCGGUUAACAAGUCAACAUCAAUUUCUUUUGUUGUAAAAGGGUAUGAGGAAGGUGGCUUUCUUUUCGGAGAAAGUGUUUAUAGCCUUGUGCCUCUGCAAUCGGAGAGAUUGAGGUCUGCAGCGUAGAUCCUUCGGGGUUAGAUACGUUUGUGCUAAGUUAUAGCUUUUCAUAGACAACUUGUUGACUAUGUUAAGUCUUGUAAGUUACUCGCUAGAUGCUAUUUUACCUACGCUUAGGAUGUUGAUGUGAUACUGCGAGCA